RNAcentral lists this ribosomal RNA (253 nucleotides) under uncultured bacterium. RNAcentral's name for it is "partial 16S ribosomal RNA". It matches the Rfam family "Bacterial small subunit ribosomal RNA", at positions 524 to 776 of the family's 1533-position model. The record is from RNAcentral.
UACGUAGGUCCCGAGCGUUGUCCGGAAUCACUGGGCGUAAAGCGUGCGUAGGCUGUUUCGUAAGUCGUGUGUGAAAGGCGCGGGCUCAACCCGCGGACGGCACAUGAUACUGCGAGACUAGAGUAAUGGAGGGGGAGCCGGAAUUCUCGGUGUAGCAGUGAAAUGCGUAGAUAUCGAGAGGAACACUCGUGGCGAAGGCGGGUUCCUGGACAUUAACUGACGCUGAGGCACGAAGGCCAGGGGAGCGAAAGGG